This 87-nucleotide non-coding RNA is filed under the name Candidatus Fimivicinus intestinavium. Its description in RNAcentral is "TPP riboswitch (THI element)". It matches the Rfam family "TPP riboswitch aptamer (THI element)", at positions 8 to 91 of the family's 105-position model. Rfam says of the family: Vitamin B(1) in its active form thiamin pyrophosphate (TPP) is an essential coenzyme that is synthesised by coupling of pyrimidine and thiazole moieties in bacteria. The previously detected thiamin-regulatory element, thi box was extended, resulting in a new, highly conserved RNA secondary structure, the THI element, which is widely distributed in eubacteria and also occurs in some archaea. Analysis of operon structures identified a large number of new candidate thiamin-regulated genes, mostly transporters, in various prokaryotic organisms. Lineage: Bacteria; Bacillati; Bacillota; Clostridia; Eubacteriales; Oscillospiraceae. The record is from RNAcentral. RNAcentral also lists the same sequence under 1 other name.
AACAGGGGAGCCGCCAGCGGCUGAGAGGAAGGCGCGUCCUUCGACCCUCUAACCUGAUCUGGAUCAUACCAGCGUAGGGAGUUAUAG